RNAcentral lists this non-coding RNA (131 nucleotides) under Phytopythium vexans DAOM BR484. The record is from RNAcentral. Lineage: Eukaryota; Oomycota; Peronosporomycetes; Pythiales; Pythiaceae.
GUGAGGGUUGUGGUAUGCAAUGCUGUGUCACUAUUCCCAGGAUGUGGAUGGCGCGUCCAUCUCAAACCAGGAGUCGACAUUGGUACUUUCUCGUAAGGGAGGGUGUCGAGGUCACUAAGGAAGGGUGAACC